Suricata suricatta (meerkat) is the source of this 588-nucleotide long non-coding RNA. RefSeq lists it as uncharacterized. The record is from RefSeq and is a predicted model, not a curated record. NCBI's taxonomy places the organism in Eukaryota, Metazoa, Chordata, Mammalia, Carnivora, Herpestidae. The transcript has 3 exons.
AGAGCAGGGGCUGGGAAAGUCGCGGCUCUCCCCGCCCCCAGCUCCGGGCGGGCGUCGCCGGAAUCACCACCGUUUGCUACGCCCGCCCGAAGGCCGGGACUCAUUUGCUUCCCCGCGGCGCCCGGCGCGGGGGAAAGGCUGGCCGUGGAAGGCUGCAGCUCUUCUGGGCUAUUGCUCUGAAUACAAAAGAGCCUUUCUCACGCCCCUGCGGCCCUCCCGCCAGGGACUCCAGAUAGCAGGGACCUGGCUCCUUGAUGCUGGAGCCCACAGCUGUCGGGGCCACAGCACCAUUUCUGUGGUUCUUGCAGAGAAGUGUGGCUCCAGGAAGGCCAAUCCAUAAGCAGGCGAGAGAAUCAAGGCAAGUCCUCGCAUCACAACCCAUCAUUGCUUCUCUCCUGCCCCUUGCUGAAUCAUGCCUGAGUGGAGACAGAAUACAGCAAAUCACUGAUAUCACUGAUGAAAAUUUAGGCAGUACCAGAGAACUUUCCAAUCCGCCUAAGCCUCUUUGAGGCUUGUUCCCACAACAGCUGGAGAAAUCUAUACAAAAUGUUCAUGAUGCUUUAAGAAAGAAUGCUCAUCAGAAUAGUG